AUUUGUAUGAUAUCCCAUGGGAAUCGGUGGUGCUGCCAUGAUAAUUAGGCCCAGAGUGGAGGCGACUUACUGUAGCUCAAAAUUAUAUCUUUGUACUAUGGACGUAUCUCUAGAAAUCGAAAGAGCGGACAAACCACAUACCAUCUCUUGAAUUGUGUGAUGAAAGGAAACAAAAAUUAGCAGGUGAAUUGGUCGAUUCAUGCACACUCUAUUAUUUUCAGACGGAUUGAGUAGAGGUUGGUUGCUGGCUAGUCAUGGUGGAUGGUAGAAGAUGAAGGAUGAUGCAAGUGUAUGUCAGGAAUGGUGGUUUGCAUCUAUGGUGGGCAUUUCUACUAAUCUAUUUGCCUUGCUUUUUGAUUUGGACAUGUGCUUCGUGGCGGUUCAAAGAGAUUUCAAGAUUUGUUUUGUUUGAGAAACCAAAUCAAAGCCAAGCCCCCAUUUCAUACAGGUACUUGUAUAUAUUUGUUCAUGUAUAUAUGUAUUUUGUUUUAUUGGCCAUGUGUAUAUAUGUAAUGUUGUAUAGUUACACGUUAAUUACUAUUUACCUUUUAUUUGUUGUGAUUUCGUUAUUAUUUUGUUCUAAUAUUUGUUUAUAGUUCAAAAUGAGGAAAAUA
Non-coding RNA from Camellia sinensis, 614 nucleotides. NCBI's taxonomy places the organism in Eukaryota, Viridiplantae, Streptophyta, Magnoliopsida, Ericales, Theaceae. The record is from RefSeq and is a predicted model, not a curated record.